This 321-nucleotide unclassified non-coding RNA is filed under the name Hevea brasiliensis (rubber tree). The record is from RNAcentral. Lineage: Eukaryota; Viridiplantae; Streptophyta; Magnoliopsida; Malpighiales; Euphorbiaceae.
GGCAUACUUCUGAGUCCAGCUCCUCGAGGUAGUCUCAUACUUGUUACGGUCCGUCUUAUACAUAUGGGCGAUCUCGGGAACUAGUGGAUCAUCAGGGUUCGGGUCCGUCAAUAGGGAACAGAUGGAAAGCAACACCUUGGAAAUGGUUAAUGCGGGACUCCAUUGUUCCUUCAAGAUGUCAAGGCAAAUGCUUCCGUUGCUGUUAAUAUUUGGAUGGAAGACCUUUGUCCUGAAUGCUACCUUGGGUGGUUUGAAAGGAUAGUCCGGAGGGAAGUGGAUGGUAACCAGAAACACUCCUCCGGAAUAAGGGCUAUCAGGGGG